Myotis davidii is the source of this 75-nucleotide non-coding RNA. The record is from Rfam. NCBI's taxonomy places the organism in Eukaryota, Metazoa, Chordata, Mammalia, Chiroptera, Vespertilionidae.
GGCAGUUCUCGGAUCAUGCACCCCAAAUUCGGGCUCUCUCCUCUCUGGUUCUUGGUGCAUCACCCGAGAAAUGCA